UGUCAUCUCAAUUAUUUUUGUGAUAUCAAAACAAAUUAGUUCAUAAAUCUGCACAUCACAUGCUACAUAUUUUUAGAGUUUGACUCAAAUAUUAGAAUGUGUGAGAAAUAUGUAGAAGUAUCCCACAUCGAAAAGUUAAAAAAUCUUGCAUAAGUUUAUAGGCUAAAUUGGAUCAAUGGUCCUCAUGGUAACAUGGUAAUCGGAAGAUAGCCCCCAUGGUGAAAAUAUUCGGAUUUAAACCCUCGUGGUAAACUCCGUUAGGAUUUAAGCUCAAAAUUAACAUCUUUCUCAUCUAUCUGUUAACCCAGUCAACCUUCAUAACCAAAAGAGAAAAAAACUCAUUCAUCCAAGGCUAUGAAUUCGUUGAUCCACGCUUCGAUUCCAUUCAAAGAUCUUUUGUCUUUUAAUCAAUGAUUUCCCUAAAUAUGCCCAUUUGAGAAAAAAUGAUUUCAAAGAAGAUCCUUCCGUUGUCAGAUUACAGAAGGAAAAGAACUGAGACGCCACACUCUCCUUCAGUUGUCAGAUUUCAAAGAAAAAAUGAUUACAAACCCCCACACAAGAAUUAAAUAUCAUAAAAUCUUAAUUAUAAUAUCAAAAACUAAAUACAAAAAACAGUUCUUUCCCACACAACCUGAUUCUACGUAUUAUGCAAAUUCACAUCAAAAUUGAAAGAAUUGGGGAAUUCAGUAAAUAUUAAUCGGGAGAGAACAACCAGAACGCAAAAGCUUUGAAGACUGUGGAGAGGUUACCUGCGUCGUCCGGGAUGUUGCCGCUGGAGAGUGUGGUGUCUCGGCUACACAGGAGAAAUAUGCAGGACAAAUUGAGAUUGAACGCUGUAGAUUUCGUGAUUUUAAAAUUCAAUGAAAUCUUUGGAGGAAUGGUGGGAUUGUUAAUUUUGGGUUAAUGGAGAGUUCACAUAAAUGUUAAUUUUGGGCUUAAAUCCUAACGGAGUUCACCACGAAGGUUUAAAUCCGAUUUUUUUCACCACAUGGGUUAUCUUCCGAUUACCCUUUCACUACAAGGACCAUUAAUCUAAUUUAACCAAGUUUAUAAGGAGUCAAACCACUCUUCAAUUACUAUGGAUACUAAAUUGGAACCCUGAUCUCCUUUGUGUGUGGUGGGGGGUGGGGUGAGGUGCUACUCCACUAAAUUGGAUUUCAUCCUACCAAAAAUCAGAUUGGGGGGUUGUGGUAGAGAAAUGUGGAUGGGUGGGUGGGGGGUUGUGGUCAGAAAGCGGACAGUGCCUAAUAUUUUUGGUCAAAUGUAACUUUAUUUUUAGGUCAUAUAUAAGAUACCACAAAAUCCAAAAGAGCGCUACUAGAUCCUUCCUAUUGUCUUAUCUACCUAUCACAAAAAAAGUUAAAAAGUUAAAAUGU
RNAcentral lists this long non-coding RNA (1376 nucleotides) under Malus domestica (apple). Its description in RNAcentral is "long non-coding RNA (MDOM_LNC006941)". The record is from RNAcentral. Lineage: Eukaryota; Viridiplantae; Streptophyta; Magnoliopsida; Rosales; Rosaceae.